GUGGGUGUAGCUCAGUUGGUUAGAGCAUCGGAUUGUGGUUCCGAGGGUCGAGGGUUCGAGUCCCUUUACCCACCCCA
Molecule: transfer RNA, 77 nt
Filed under: Clostridiaceae bacterium
Lineage: Bacteria; Bacillati; Bacillota; Clostridia; Eubacteriales; Clostridiaceae
Also listed under: 7 other names
Description: tRNA-His
Rfam family: tRNA
About the family: Transfer RNA (tRNA) molecules are approximately 80 nucleotides in length. Their secondary structure includes four short double-helical elements and three loops (D, anti-codon, and T loops).
Source: RNAcentral